UGGGGAAUUUUGGACAAUGGGGGCAACCCUGAUCCAGCAAUGCCGCGUGAGUGAAGAAGGCCUUCGGGUUGUAAAGCUCUUUUGUCAGGGAAGAAACGGUAGUAGCGAAUAACUAUUACUAAUGACGGUACCUGAAGAAUAAGCACCGGCUAACUACGUGCCAGCAGCCGCGGUAAUACGUAGGGUGCAAGCGUUAAUCGGAAUUACUGGGCGUAAAGCGUGCGCAGGCGGUUGUGUAAGUCAGAUGUGAAAUCCCCGGGCUCAACCUGGGAAUUGCAUUUGAGACUGCACGGCUAGAGUGUGUCAGAGGGGGGUAGAAUUCCACGUGUAGCAGUGAAAUGCGUAGAUAUGUGGAGGAAUACCGAUGGCGAAGGCAGCCCCCUGGGCUAACACUGACGCUCAUGCACGAAAGCGUGGGGAGCAAACAGGAUUAGAUACCCCCGUAGUCCCUGAGCGGGCUGGCAAGGCGCAU
RNAcentral lists this ribosomal RNA (472 nucleotides) under uncultured bacterium. RNAcentral describes it as "bacterial SSU rRNA". It matches the Rfam family "Bacterial small subunit ribosomal RNA", at positions 355 to 825 of the family's 1533-position model. The record is from RNAcentral.